Molecule: ribosomal RNA, 222 nt
Filed under: uncultured bacterium
Lineage: Bacteria
Description: partial 16S ribosomal RNA
Rfam family: Bacterial small subunit ribosomal RNA
Source: RNAcentral
GAUCAUGGCUCAGGACGAACGCUGGCGGCGUGCCUAAUACAUGCAAGUAGAACGCACAGUUUAUACCGUAGCUUGCUACACCAUAGACUGUGAGUUGCGAACGGGUGAGUAACGCGUAGGUAACCUGCCUGGUAGCGGGGGAUAACUAUUGGAAACGAUAGCUAAUACCGCAUAAUAUUGAUUAUUGCAUGAUAAUUGAUUGAAAGAUGCUAUUGCAUCACU